RNAcentral lists this ribosomal RNA (254 nucleotides) under uncultured bacterium. RNAcentral describes it as "partial 16S ribosomal RNA". It matches the Rfam family "Bacterial small subunit ribosomal RNA", at positions 524 to 776 of the family's 1533-position model. The record is from RNAcentral.
UACGAAGGGGGGCUAGCGUUGUUCGGAAUUACUGGGCGUAAAGAGCUCGUAGGCGGUUUGUCGCGUCUGCCGUGAAAGUCCGGGGCUCAACUCCGGAUCUGCGGUGGGUACGGGCAGACUAGAGUGAUGUAGGGGAGACUGGAAUUCCUGGUGUAGCGGUGAAAUGCGCAGAUAUCAGGAGGAACACCGAUGGCGAAGGCAGGUCUCUGGGCAUUAACUGACGCUGAGGAGCGAAAGCAUGGGGAGCGAACAGG